GUAAAAGCCUACCAAGGCGACGAUCAGUAGCCGGUCUGAGAGGAUGAACGGCCACACUGGGACUGAGACACGGCCCAGACUCCUACGGGAGGCAGCAGUGGGGAAUCUUCCGCAAUGGACGAAAGUCUGACGGAGCAACGCCGCGUGAGUGAAGAAGGCCUUCGGGUUGUAAAGCUCUGUUUUUAGGGACGAACGAUACUUAUGUGAAAAAUAUAAGUAAGUGACGGUACCUGAAGAGGAAGCCACGGCUAACUACGUGCCAGCAGCCGCGGUAAUACGUAGGUGGCGAGCGUUGUCCGGAAUUAUUGGGCGUAAAGGGCGCGUAGGCGGGAUAAUAAGUCUGUAGUGAAACUGCGGGGCUCAACUCCGUAUUGCAAUGGAAACUGUUAUUCUUGAGUGCAGGAGAGGAAAGUGGAAUUCCCAGUGUAGCGGUGAAAUGCGUAGAUAUUGGGAGGAACACCAGUGGCGAAGGCGACUUUCUGGACUGUGUCUGACGCUGAGGCGCGAAAGCUAGGGUAGCGAACGGGAUUAGAUACCCCGGUAGUCCUAGCCGUAAACGAUGGGUACUAGGUGUGGGGAGGUAUCGACCCCUUCCGUGCC
RNAcentral lists this ribosomal RNA (600 nucleotides) under uncultured Veillonellaceae bacterium. Its description in RNAcentral is "bacterial SSU rRNA". It matches the Rfam family "Bacterial small subunit ribosomal RNA", at positions 257 to 847 of the family's 1533-position model. Lineage: Bacteria; Bacillati; Bacillota; Negativicutes; Veillonellales; Veillonellaceae. The record is from RNAcentral.